Molecule: ribosomal RNA, 245 nt
Filed under: uncultured bacterium
Lineage: Bacteria
Description: partial 16S ribosomal RNA
Rfam family: Bacterial small subunit ribosomal RNA
Source: RNAcentral
AACGUAGGUGGCGAGCGUUAUCCGGAUUUACUGGGCGUAAAGCGUGUGCAGGCGGACGGCCAAGUGGUGUAUGAAAUCGCCCGGCUUAACCGGGCGAGGUUAUGCCAGACUGGUCGUCUGGAGUACGGGAGAGGGGCGUGGAAUUCCGGGUGUAGUGGUGAAAUGCGUAGAGAUCCGGAGGAACCCCAGCGGCGAAGGCGGCGCCCUGGCCCGAUACUGACGCUCAGACACGACAGCAUGGGGAG